Small nuclear RNA from Oryctolagus cuniculus (rabbit), 150 nucleotides. Its record names the gene U2. It matches the Rfam family "U2 spliceosomal RNA". From Rfam's summary of the family: U2 is a small nuclear RNA (snRNA) component of the spliceosome (involved in pre-mRNA splicing). Complementary binding between U2 snRNA (in an area lying towards the 5' end but 3' to hairpin I) and the branchpoint sequence (BPS) of the intron results the bulging out of an unpaired adenosine, on the BPS, which initiates a nucleophilic attack at the intronic 5' splice site, thus starting the first of two transesterification reactions that mediate splicing. NCBI's taxonomy places the organism in Eukaryota, Metazoa, Chordata, Mammalia, Lagomorpha, Leporidae. The record is from Ensembl.
AUUGCUUCUCAGCCUUUUGGCUAAGAUCAAGUGUAGUAUCUGUUCUUAUCAGUUUAAUAAAAUUGGAGGCCGGUGCCGCGGCUCACUAGGCUAAUCCUCCGCCUGUGGCGCCGCCACCCCUGGUUCUAGUCCCGGUUGGGGCGCCGGAUU